GCACGCAACGGAAAAGAAUGUGUAAACGGAAGUGUCGCGUUCGUUGGUUUUGUGACAAACCUGAGUUUUUAACCAGAAAUUAAGUGUACAUACAUAUGAAUACACGAAGCAAACACAUACACAAAGAGCGAAGUUGAUUUAAUUAAUUUGGCUAUGGGAAAAUCUACUCCUGUAACGUGAAUUUUCUUCAUGCACGAAAAUGUUCAGUGCAGCAUUGCAACACAGUUAGAAGGAACGUGCGGACGACGGUAGUUGGACGAUACGAAUCGAAGGUGGUACGUAUUGUGUAGGUGAUUACCGGUGCGGAUUGCGCGACAAAUACGUGAACGAAGAACAAAAAUUGCACAAAAGCACAAAAUAGGUUAAAAAUUAAUAAGAAAAAUCGAAAACAGCGAGAAAAUUAAUAAAAACAACGAAUAACGAAGUUUACAUGUGAAAAAAUGCCACAAUUGUUUUGUUGCGUGCCACGGCAACAACAACAAAAGCUUAGCGAAACAAUUGCGUGCGUGAAAAUAACGAGUACAUUACCACACAACGUAAUCAUGUGAUUUAGUUAGUUUAAAAUGGGAAAAAAAUUUUGAACUGCUGUUCGAAAUCACACGAAAAAAGUGCGAAAUUUAACAAACAAAAAAAUCAGCUUGACGCCGCCGCUUACCGCUAAAUGACCAAAGCCAGAAGCCUUGCCUGCCUAAGGAACUGCAUAAAACGUUUAACAAAACAACAGCAAAAACUAAAUUAAAAAUAAAAACAAAA
This is a long non-coding RNA of Rhagoletis zephyria (snowberry fruit fly), 753 nucleotides long. RefSeq lists it as uncharacterized. Lineage: Eukaryota; Metazoa; Arthropoda; Insecta; Diptera; Tephritidae. The record is from RefSeq and is a predicted model, not a curated record.